UCAAUAGUACAAAGCAGGGUGCAAAAAUAAAAACGUACAGAGAUUCAGCAUAACUCUACAACUGUUGAAUGGGAAGAUGAGUGGCCUUGCUAGGUUCUGCAAGCAAGAGAGCUAGAAGCCUAUUCUUUAUAUAUGGUGAUUAACAGAUUUAUUCUGCUGUCCACGGUCAAGGCUGGCCAUUGUCAAGCUGCUUGGAGUAAUAACCACAAAGUGCUAGGAGAUUAUUGAAGAACUGCUAAAUCUAAAUAGAUAAAUCCUGGAACAUCACAAGGCGAACUCUCUGACGAAUUCUUCAGAUAUUUGUGGAACAGCAAGAAGCCACUAAAAGGAAGAUCCGUCAAAGAACUCUUGGACUCCACGGAGGAGAGAGAAAUAUUGGAGACCAUCUUCAACCAUCUGCGUCCUCUCCAGAUUCCUGCAGACAUCAAAUGGUCCAGAGGUCAAAGAAGUGUAUUGCCGUCCAUCAACAAGUCUGCAAUACAACCAAGCACUAUUCAGGUCUUGGCUAAA
Long non-coding RNA from Thamnophis elegans (Western terrestrial garter snake), 510 nucleotides. RefSeq lists it as uncharacterized. The transcript is spliced from 3 exons. The record is from RefSeq and is a predicted model, not a curated record. NCBI's taxonomy places the organism in Eukaryota, Metazoa, Chordata, Lepidosauria, Squamata, Natricidae.